This 2690-nucleotide ribosomal RNA is filed under the name Escherichia coli 1-110-08_S3_C1. RNAcentral describes it as "bacterial LSU rRNA". It matches the Rfam family "Bacterial large subunit ribosomal RNA". The record is from RNAcentral. Lineage: Bacteria; Pseudomonadati; Pseudomonadota; Gammaproteobacteria; Enterobacterales; Enterobacteriaceae.
AAAAGAAAUCAACCGAGAUUCCCCCAGUAGCGGCGAGCGAACGGGGAGCAGCCCAGAGCCUGAAUCAGUAUGUGUGUUAGUGGAAGCGUCUGGAAAGGCGCGCGAUACAGGGUGACAGCCCCGUACACAAAAAUGCACAUGCUGUGAGCUCGAUGAGUAGGGCGGGACACGUGGUAUCCUGUCUGAAUAUGGGGGGACCAUCCUCCAAGGCUAAAUACUCCUGACUGACCGAUAGUGAACCAGUACCGUGAGGGAAAGGCGAAAAGAACCCCGGCGAGGGGAGUGAAAAAGAACCUGAAACCGUGUACGUACAAGCAGUGGGAGCACGCUUAGGCGUGUGACUGCGUACCUUUUGUAUAAUGGGUCAGCGACUUAUAUUCUGUAGCAAGGUUAACCGAAUAGGGGAGCCGAAGGGAAACCGAGUCUUAACUGGGCGUUAAGUUGCAGGGUAUAGACCCGAAACCCGGUGAUCUAGCCAUGGGCAGGUUGAAGGUUGGGUAACACUAACUGGAGGACCGAACCGACUAAUGUUGAAAAAUUAGCGGAUGACUUGUGGCUGGGGGUGAAAGGCCAAUCAAACCGGGAGAUAGCUGGUUCUCCCCGAAAGCUAUUUAGGUAGCGCCUCGUGAAUUCAUCUCCGGGGGUAGAGCACUGUUUCGGCAAGGGGGUCAUCCCGACUUACCAACCCGAUGCAAACUGCGAAUACCGGAGAAUGUUAUCACGGGAGACACACGGCGGGUGCUAACGUCCGUCGUGAAGAGGGAAACAACCCAGACCGCCAGCUAAGGUCCCAAAGUCAUGGUUAAGUGGGAAACGAUGUGGGAAGGCCCAGACAGCCAGGAUGUUGGCUUAGAAGCAGCCAUCAUUUAAAGAAAGCGUAAUAGCUCACUGGUCGAGUCGGCCUGCGCGGAAGAUGUAACGGGGCUAAACCAUGCACCGAAGCUGCGGCAGCGACGCUGAUGCGUUGUUGGGUAGGGGAGCGUUCUGUAAGCCUGCGAAGGUGUGCUGUGAGGCAUGCUGGAGGUAUCAGAAGUGCGAAUGCUGACAUAAGUAACGAUAAAGCGGGUGAAAAGCCCGCUCGCCGGAAGACCAAGGGUUCCUGUCCAACGUUAAUCGGGGCAGGGUGAGUCGACCCCUAAGGCGAGGCCGAAAGGCGUAGUCGAUGGGAAACAGGUUAAUAUUCCUGUACUUGGUGUUACUGCGAAGGGGGGACGGAGAAGGCUAUGUUGGCCGGGCGACGGUUGUCCCGGUUUAAGCGUGUAGGCUGGUUUUCCAGGCAAAUCCGGAAAAUCAAGGCUGAGGCGUGAUGACGAGGCACUACGGUGCUGAAGCAACAAAUGCCCUGCUUCCAGGAAAAGCCUCUAAGCAUCAGGUAACAUCAAAUCGUACCCCAAACCGACACAGGUGGUCAGGUAGAGAAUACCAAGGCGCUUGAGAGAACUCGGGUGAAGGAACUAGGCAAAAUGGUGCCGUAACUUCGGGAGAAGGCACGCUGAUAUGUAGGUGAAGUCCCUCGCGGAUGGAGCUGAAAUCAGUCGAAGAUACCAGCUGGCUGCAACUGUUUAUUAAAAACACAGCACUGUGCAAACACGAAAGUGGACGUAUACGGUGUGACGCCUGCCCGGUGCCGGAAGGUUAAUUGAUGGGGUUAGCCGCAAGGCGAAGCUCUUGAUCGAAGCCCCGGUAAACGGCGGCCGUAACUAUAACGGUCCUAAGGUAGCGAAAUUCCUUGUCGGGUAAGUUCCGACCUGCACGAAUGGCGUAAUGAUGGCCAGGCUGUCUCCACCCGAGACUCAGUGAAAUUGAACUCGCUGUGAAGAUGCAGUGUACCCGCGGCAAGACGGAAAGACCCCGUGAACCUUUACUAUAGCUUGACACUGAACAUUGAGCCUUGAUGUGUAGGAUAGGUGGGAGGCUUAGAAGUGUGGACGCCAGUCUGCAUGGAGCCGACCUUGAAAUACCACCCUUUAAUGUUUGAUGUUCUAACGUUGACCCGUAAUCCGGGUUGCGGACAGUGUCUGGUGGGUAGUUUGACUGGGGCGGUCUCCUCCUAAAGAGUAACGGAGGAGCACGAAGGUUGGCUAAUCCUGGUCGGACAUCAGGAGGUUAGUGCAAUGGCAUAAGCCAGCUUGACUGCGAGCGUGACGGCGCGAGCAGGUGCGAAAGCAGGUCAUAGUGAUCCGGUGGUUCUGAAUGGAAGGGCCAUCGCUCAACGGAUAAAAGGUACUCCGGGGAUAACAGGCUGAUACCGCCCAAGAGUUCAUAUCGACGGCGGUGUUUGGCACCUCGAUGUCGGCUCAUCACAUCCUGGGGCUGAAGUAGGUCCCAAGGGUAUGGCUGUUCGCCAUUUAAAGUGGUACGCGAGCUGGGUUUAGAACGUCGUGAGACAGUUCGGUCCCUAUCUGCCGUGGGCGCUGGAGAACUGAGGGGGGCUGCUCCUAGUACGAGAGGACCGGAGUGGACGCAUCACUGGUGUUCGGGUUGUCAUGCCAAUGGCACUGCCCGGUAGCUAAAUGCGGAAGAGAUAAGUGCUGAAAGCAUCUAAGCACGAAACUUGCCCCGAGAUGAGUUCUCCCUGACCCUUUAAGGGUCCUGAAGGAACGUUGAAGACGACGACGUUGAUAGGCCGGGUGUGUAAGCGCAGCGAUGCGUUGAGCUAACCGGUACUAAUGAACCGUGAGGCUUAACCU